This 468-nucleotide ribosomal RNA is filed under the name uncultured bacterium. Its description in RNAcentral is "partial 16S ribosomal RNA". It matches the Rfam family "Bacterial small subunit ribosomal RNA", at positions 28 to 507 of the family's 1533-position model. The record is from RNAcentral.
GACGAACGCUGGCGGCGUGCUUAACACAUGCAAGUCGAACGGAAAGGCCCUGCUUUUGUGGGGUGCUCGAGUGGCGAACGUGUGAGUAACACGUGAGUAACCUUCCCUUUACUUUGGGAUAACUUCAGGAAACUGGGGCUAAUACCGGAUAGGAGCUCCUGCUGCAUGGUGGGGGUUGGAAAGUUUCGGAGGUUGGGGAUGGACUCGCGGCUUAUCAGCUUGUUGGUGGGGUAGUGGCUUACCAAGGCUUUGACGGGUAGCCGGCCUGAGAGGGUGACCGGCCACAUUGGGACUGAGAUACGGCCCAGACUCCUACGGGAGGCAGCAGUGGGGAAUAUUGCACGAUGGGCGGAAGCCUGAUGCAGCAACGCCGCGUGCGGGAUGACGGCCUUCGGGUUGUAAACCGCUUUCGCCUGUGACGAAGCGUGAGUGACGGUAAUGGGUAAAGAAGCACCGGCUAACUACGUG